CAGCGGCGGACGGGUGCGUAACGCGUAGGAACGUGUCUAGAGGUGGGGGACAACCCUGGGAAACUGGGGCUAAUACCGCAUAUGGGCUGAGGCCCAAAGCCGUGAGGCGCCUUUGGAGCGGCCUGCGUCCGAUUAGCUAGUUGGUGGGGUAAAGGCCUACCAAGGCUCCGAUCGGUAGCUGGUCUGAGAGGACGAUCAGCCACACUGGGACUGAGACACGGCCCAGACUCCUACGGGAGGCAGCAGUGGGGAAUAUUGGACAAUGGGCGCAAGCCUGAUCCAGCAAUGCCGCGUGGGUGAAGAAGGUCUUCGGAUCGUAAAGCCCUUUCGACAGGGACGAUGAUGACGGUACCUGUAGAAGAAGCCCCGGCUAACUUCGUGCCAGCAGCCGCGGUAAUACGAAGGGGGCUAGCGUUGCUCGGAAUUACUGGGCGUAAAGGGCGCGUAGGCGGCUUAGUCAGUCAGGCGUGAAAUUCCUGGGCUUAACCUGGGG
RNAcentral lists this ribosomal RNA (493 nucleotides) under uncultured Roseomonas sp. Its description in RNAcentral is "bacterial SSU rRNA". It matches the Rfam family "Bacterial small subunit ribosomal RNA", at positions 93 to 619 of the family's 1533-position model. The record is from RNAcentral. Lineage: Bacteria; Pseudomonadati; Pseudomonadota; Alphaproteobacteria; Acetobacterales; Roseomonadaceae.